CUCACUCUGUAGCACUGGCUGGCAUGAAGUGGCAUGAUUUCCACUCGCUGCAACCCCCAUUUCCUGGUUUCAAGCAAUUCUCAUGCCUCAGCCUUACCAGUUGUUGAGAUUACAGGU
Molecule: long non-coding RNA, 117 nt
Organism: Cebus imitator (Panamanian white-faced capuchin)
Lineage: Eukaryota; Metazoa; Chordata; Mammalia; Primates; Cebidae
Exons: 3
Source: RefSeq, a predicted model, not a curated record